This 509-nucleotide ribosomal RNA is filed under the name uncultured Staphylococcus sp. RNAcentral's name for it is "bacterial SSU rRNA". It matches the Rfam family "Bacterial small subunit ribosomal RNA", at positions 9 to 501 of the family's 1533-position model. The record is from RNAcentral. Lineage: Bacteria; Bacillati; Bacillota; Bacilli; Caryophanales; Staphylococcaceae.
GAGUUUGAUCCUGGCUCAGGAUGAACGCUGGCGGCGUGCCUAAUACAUGCAAGUCGAGCGAACAGAUAAGGAGCUUGCUCCUUUGACGUUAGCGGCGGGCGGGUGAGUAUCACGUGGGUAACCUACCCAUAAGACUGGAAUAACUCCGGGAAACCGGGGCUAAUGCCGGAUAAUAUUUAGAACCGCAUGGUUCUAAAGUGAAAGAUGGCCUUGCUAUCACUUAUGGAUGGACCCGCGCCGUAUUAGCUAGUUGGUAAGGUAACGGCUUACCAAGGCAACGAUACGUAGCCGACCUGAGAGGGUGAUCGGCCACACUGGAACUGAGACACGGUCCAGACUCCUACGGGAGGCAGCAGUAGGGAAUCUUCCGCAAUGGGCGAAAGCCUGACGGAGCAACGCCGCGUGAGUGAUGAAGGUCUUCGGAUCGUAAAGCUCUGUUAUUAGGGAAGAACGAAUGCGUAAGUAACUGUGCGCGUCUUGACGGUACCUAAUCAGAAAGCCCGGCUAUC